RNAcentral lists this ribosomal RNA (1257 nucleotides) under Proteus vulgaris. Its description in RNAcentral is "bacterial SSU rRNA". It matches the Rfam family "Bacterial small subunit ribosomal RNA", at positions 90 to 1414 of the family's 1533-position model. Lineage: Bacteria; Pseudomonadati; Pseudomonadota; Gammaproteobacteria; Enterobacterales; Morganellaceae. The record is from RNAcentral.
GCCGAUAGGCGGACGGGUGAGUAAUAUGGGGAUCUGAGGGAUAACUACUGGAAACGGUGGAUGGGCUAAUACCGCAUGACGUCUACGGACGGACCUUGCGUAUCGGAUGAACCCAUGUAGAUCAGAAAUUAGCUUGUAGGUGAGGUAAAGGCUCACUAGGCACGGAUCUCUAGCUGGUCUGAAGAGGAUGAUCGGUGAGCCCAACUGGGACUGAGACACGGCCGACCCUACGGGAGGCAGCAGUGGGGAUAUUGCACAAUGGCGCAAGCCUGAUGCAGCCAUGCCGCGUGUUGAAGAAGGCCUUAGGGUUGUAAAGUACUUUCAGCGGGGGAAGGUGAUAAAGUUAAUACCUUUAAAUUGACGUUACCCGCAGAAGAAGCACCGGCUAACUCCGUAGCCAGCAGCCGCGGUAAUACGGAGGGUGCAAGCGUUAAUCGGAAUACUGGGCGUAAAGCGCACGCAGGCGGUCAAUUAAGUCAGAUGUGAAAGCCCCGCUUAACUUGGGAAUUGCACUGAAACUGGUUGGCUGAGUUUGUAGAGGGGGGUAGAUUCCAUGUGUAGCGGUGAAUGCGUAGAGAUGUGGAGGAAUACCGGUGGCGAAGGCGGCCCCCUGGACAAAGACUGACGCAGGUGCGAAAGCGUGGGGAGCAAACAGGAUUAGAUACCCUGGUAGUCCACGCUGUAAACGAUGUCGAUAGAGUGGUCUUGAACCGUGGCUUGCUAACGCGUUAAAUCGACCGCCUGGGGAGUACGGCCGCAAGGUUAAAACUCAAAUGAAUUGACGGGGGCCCGCACAAGCGGUGGAGCAUGUGGUUUAAUUCGCGAAGAACCUUACCUACUCUUGACAUCCAGCGAAUCCUUUAGAGAUAGAGGAGUGCCUUCGAACGCUGAGACAGGUGCUGCAUGGCUGUCGUCAGCUCGUGUUGUGAAAUGUUUGGGUUAAGUCCCGCAACGAGCGCAACCCUUAUCCUUUGUUGCCACCGCGUGAUGGCGGGAACUCAAAGGAGACUGCCGGGGAUAACCCGGAGGAAAGGUGGGGAUAGACGUCAAGUCAUCAUGGGCCCUUACAAGAAGGGGUCACACCUGCUGGCGAAUACAAAGAGAAACGACUUCCCCAGAGCAAGCGGAACUCAUAAAGUCUGUCGUAAUCCCGAUUGGAGUCUGGAACUCGACUCCUUGAAGUCGGAACCGCUGGUAAUCUGCUACGGUGAAUACGUUCCCGGGCCUUGUACACACCGCCCAAAGCAGGGGCUCUUC